This 419-nucleotide ribosomal RNA is filed under the name uncultured bacterium. Its description in RNAcentral is "bacterial SSU rRNA". It matches the Rfam family "Bacterial small subunit ribosomal RNA", at positions 355 to 787 of the family's 1533-position model. The record is from RNAcentral.
UGGGGAGUAUUGCACAAUGGAGGGAACUCUGAUGCAGCAAUGCCGCGUGAGGGAAGAAGGUUUUCGGAUUGUAAACCCUCUGUCCUAGCUGAAGAAAAGAAUGACGGUAGGCUAGGAGGAAGCUCCGGCUAACUACGUGCCAGCAGCCGCGGUAAUACGUAGGGAGCGAGCGUUAUCCGGAUUUACUGGGUGUAAAGGGUGCGUAGGCGGCUAUGCAAGUCAGGCGUGAAAUGUACGGGCUUAACCCGUGAGCUGCGUUUGAAACUGUAUAGCUUGAGUAGAGUAGAGGCAGGCGGAAUUUCCGGUGUAGCGGUGAAAUGCGUAGAGAUCGGAAGGAACACCAGUGGCGAAGGCGGCUUGCUGGGCUCAAACUGACGCUGAGGCACGAAAGCAUGGGGAGCAAACAGGAUUAGAUACCC